Molecule: long non-coding RNA, 955 nt
Organism: Pogona vitticeps (central bearded dragon)
Lineage: Eukaryota; Metazoa; Chordata; Lepidosauria; Squamata; Agamidae
Source: Ensembl
AGGAAGGAAGGAAGGAAGGAAGGAAGGAAGGAAGGAAGGAAGGACAGGGAGAAAGGAGGGAGGGAGGAGCUGAUGAUGGAAGGAAGGAAGGAAGGAGCUGAUGAUGGAUUAAAGGAAGGAAGGAAGGAAAAUUAAGUAACAGCCAGCCCCUGUAUGUUUUUUCCUUGCAGUGCUUCUAUCAAUGGGCACAAUAGCAACCAUCCAGUAUCAGCUGGCCAGUGUGCCAAUGAUUGGCUCAAGCUUCUUUGUCGUGGAGCUGAACCUGAUUCUCCGAACCGGAACCCGAUUCAUCACGAUUCCUUUCAGCAACGUCCCCACCCCCCUGCCGUCGCUCAACAAGAAUGCUCUCAGCCUGGGUCUUUCUCAGGCCAGCCUGAACAUCCUCAUCGAUGUUAUUCUCCAGAUGAAAGUGAAAGAAUUCAUGUCCACACCUGAAGUGGUGAGUGGCGCACGUGUGCAUCCCAAAGGGGGUGAAGGAACUGCAAGCGAGAAGGGUCUCUGGAUCCUCAAAAGCCGUUGAGAGGAGACUGGACUGAGAGUGCUGGGCUGUGUGGAACGGAGAGUUAAUUCUUCCCCCAAUUGACCAAAAUUGUCGUGACAGCCUCAGCACUCCAGAUCUGGCGGGGAUGGGAUUCUGUGUCUGUUGUGCUGCUUUCUCCGAAGCCGACACAGGUUUUAUUUUAUUUAUUUAUUUAUUUAUUUUAUUUAUAUCCCGCCUAUCUAGUCGUGGUGGACUACUCUAGGCGGGUUUUCCACCUGACUUUGCCUGCCUUUAGCUUUAACGGAGGCCUUGGGUUUUUGGGUAUUUGGCAAAAGGGUAUUUGUCUCCCAGGAUAUUUGCUUAGGAGUUUCAGCUACCCAACAGCCCACCUGUCACCAACCUGCUGAAGGUUGCUCAAACAAAAUGGGGGGGGAUCUAGGGUGGGGGCAACAAGGGGCCAGGUCUGCUUAGGCA